RNAcentral lists this ribosomal RNA (112 nucleotides) under Acanthosepion pharaonis. The record is from RNAcentral. Lineage: Eukaryota; Metazoa; Mollusca; Cephalopoda; Sepiida; Sepiidae.
ACAGCCAUGUCACAUUGAAACACCAGUUACCAUAUGAUCACCAAAGUUAAGCAAUGUUCAGCCUGGUCAGUACUUAGAUGAGUGACCUCUUGGGAAUACCAGGUGCUGUAAG